GAUGAACGCUGGCGGCGUGCCUAAUACAUGCAAGUCGAGCGAACGGACGAGAAGCUUGCUUUUCUGAUGUUAGCGGCGGACGGGUGAGUAACACGUGGAUAACCUACCUAUAAGACUGGGAUAACUUCGGGAAACCGGAGCUAAUACCGGAUAAUAUUUUGAACCGCAUGGUUCAAAAGUGAAAGACGGUCUUGCUGUCACUUAUAGAUGGAUCCGCGCUGCAUUAGCUAGUUGGUAAGGUAACGGCUUACCAAGGCAACGAUGCAUAGCCGACCUGAGAGGGUGAUCGGCCACACUGGAACUGAGACACGGUCCAGACUCCUACGGGAGGCAGCAGUAGGGAAUCUUCCGCAAUGGGCGAAAGCCUGACGGAGCAACGCCGCGUGAGUGAUGAAGGUCUUCGGAUCGUAAAACUCUGUUAUUAGGGAAGAACAUAUGUGUAAGUAACUGUGCACAUCUUGACGGUACCUAAUCAGAAAGCCACGGCUAACUACGUGCCAGCAGCCGCGGUAAUACGUAGGUGGCAAGCGUUAUCCGGAAUUAUUGGGCGUAAAGCGCGCGUAGGCGGUUUUUUAAGUCUGAUGUGAAAGCCCACGGCUCAACCGUGGAGGGUCAUUGGAAACUGGAAAACUUGAGUGCAGAAGAGGAAAGUGGAAUUCCAUGUGUAGCGGUGAAAUGCGCAGAGAUGUGGAGGAACACCAGUGGCGAAGACGACUUUCUGGUCUGUAACUGACGCUGAUGUGCGAAAGCGUGGGGAUCAAACAGGAUUAGAUACCCUGGUAGUCCACGCCGUAAACGAUGAGUGCUAAGUGUUAGGGGGUUUCCGCCCCUUAGUGCUGCAGCUAACGCAUUAAGCACUCCGCCUGGGGAGUACGACCGCAAGGUUGAAACUCAAAGGAAUUGACGGGGGCCCGCACAAGCGGUGGAGCAUGUGGUUUAAUUCGAAGCAACGCGAAGAACCUUACCAAAUCUUGACAUCCUUUGACAACUCUAGAGAUAGAGCCUUCCCCUUCGGGGGACAAAGUGACAGGUGGUGCAUGGUUGUCGUCAGCUCGUGUCGUGAGAUGUUGGGUUAAGUCCCGCAACGAGCGCAACCCUUAAGCUUAGUUGCCAUCAUUAAGUUGGGCACUCUAAGUUGACUGCCGGUGACAAACCGGAGGAAGGUGGGGAUGACGUCAAAUCAUCAUGCCCCUUAUGAUUUGGGCUACACACGUGCUACAAUGGACAAUACAAAGGGCAGCGAAACCGCGAGGUCAAGCAAAUCCCAUAAAGUUGUUCUCAGUUCGGAUUGUAGUCUGCAACUCGACUACAUGAAGCUGGAAUCGCUAGUAAUCGUAGAUCAGCAUGCUACGGUGAAUACGUUCCCGGGUCU
Molecule: ribosomal RNA, 1372 nt
Filed under: uncultured bacterium
Lineage: Bacteria
Description: bacterial SSU rRNA
Rfam family: Bacterial small subunit ribosomal RNA
Source: RNAcentral